Molecule: ribosomal RNA, 258 nt
Filed under: uncultured bacterium
Lineage: Bacteria
Description: partial 16S ribosomal RNA
Rfam family: Bacterial small subunit ribosomal RNA
Source: RNAcentral
UACGGAGGGUCCAAGCGUUAUCCGGAAUCAUUGGGUUUAAAGGGUCCGUAGGCGGUUUUGUAAGUCAGUGGUGAAAGCCCAUCGCUCAACGGUGGAACGGCCAUUGAUACUGCAAGACUUGAAUUUAUUGGGAAGCAACUAGAAUAUGUAGUGUAGCGGUGAAAAUGCUUAGAGAUUACAUGGAAAUACCAAUUGCGAAGGCAGGUUGCUACCAAUACAUUGACGCUGAUGGACGAAAAGCGUGGGGAGCGAACGAGG